Molecule: long non-coding RNA, 573 nt
Organism: Melanaphis sacchari
Lineage: Eukaryota; Metazoa; Arthropoda; Insecta; Hemiptera; Aphididae
Exons: 3
Source: RefSeq, a predicted model, not a curated record
CAAUCACUUAAUGGAUUUUACAAUGUUUUUUAAAAUAAAAAUCUGUGGUAUAAAUGUUAAGCAUAUGGAGUAUGGAUGACUUUAGUCAUUAAAAUUCUUAAAAAUGUAUGUAUAAUUCAUCCAGUAGAAUGUAACCAAGUUUGCUAAACAAUUGGUUUUGAAAUGGAGAUCUAAAGACAAUUAAAUUUGGAUCACUGUUGGAAGUCCUGCAAAGUUUAAUGAUUCCAUAAAGAAUUGAACAAGAUGUGAUCAAUAUAAUUAACCAUAAACAGUUAAUUGACAAUACUAAAUUGGAUUGAACAACACUUUUAAAAAUUAUAAGUCUAUUGUACAGAUAUUUUGUGGAGGUGCUUGUAUGUACCAAGGGAUAAUAGAAAGAUACUCCCUAGGCGCUAUGAAGAAUCAGUGGUAAUAUAUAUUAUGGAUGACUGCAAAGUUUUGAGUGGAAGAUUGGUAAAAUGAAGCUGUGACAUAAUACCAAUAUUGAUAUCCGAACCUUUGUUAAAUGUUUUUAAUAGAAUAGCUAAUAAUCUAAAUAAUCUAUAAUUGUCGACAAAUUUAAUAUUAUUUCAA